Molecule: transfer RNA, 72 nt
Organism: Sphingomonas sp. SRS2
Lineage: Bacteria; Pseudomonadati; Pseudomonadota; Alphaproteobacteria; Sphingomonadales; Sphingomonadaceae
Rfam family: tRNA
About the family: Transfer RNA (tRNA) molecules are approximately 80 nucleotides in length. Their secondary structure includes four short double-helical elements and three loops (D, anti-codon, and T loops). Further hydrogen bonds mediate the characteristic L-shaped molecular structure. tRNAs have two regions of fundamental functional importance: the anti-codon, which is responsible for specific mRNA codon recognition, and the 3' end, to which the tRNAs corresponding amino acid is attached (by aminoacyl-tRNA synthetases). tRNAs cope with the degeneracy of the genetic code in two manners: having more than one tRNA (with a specific anti-codon) for a particular amino acid; and 'wobble' base-pairing, i.e. permitting non-standard base-pairing at the 3rd anti-codon position.
Source: Rfam
CGGGGUGGAGCAGCCCGGUAGCUCGUCAGGCUCAUAACCUGAAGGUCACAGGUUCAAAUCCUGUCCCCGCAA